This 87-nucleotide transfer RNA is filed under the name Bacteroidia bacterium. RNAcentral's name for it is "tRNA-Ser". It matches the Rfam family "tRNA". From Rfam's summary of the family: Transfer RNA (tRNA) molecules are approximately 80 nucleotides in length. Their secondary structure includes four short double-helical elements and three loops (D, anti-codon, and T loops). Lineage: Bacteria; Pseudomonadati; Bacteroidota; Bacteroidia. The record is from RNAcentral.
GGAGGAAUGGCAGAGCGGUCGAUUGCGGCAGUCUUGAAAACUGUUGAACCUUCGCGGGUUCCGGGGGUUCGAAUCCCUCUUCCUCCG